ACAAGUAGGCAGUGUAUGGAGACUUUGAAGUAGUCAAGCUUAAAUGGGAUGUCUCCAUUAAAGCCCUCCUCUCCAGGGUCAGAGGUGUGGGAGGACUCCAAGUGUCUCCCAGUCACAACAGGAACCCACGUGAACUCAAGAGACUGCAACAGCACAAGAUCAGCACACACUCAAGUCAGACAGGGUCCCAGAACCAAGAAGGGGAAGUUGACGUGGGGUCCCACCCUGAACCGAGAAGCUAUUUGUAAUUGGUACUCUGCCAAAGAGGAAAUCAGUUUUCUCCAAUGGAGUGUCACUGGGCAUAUCUACCACACUCCAGGGCAGACUCCAUGCCCAAAAGUAGUUGGCCAAUAGAAACUAAAUUCCA
This 367-nucleotide long non-coding RNA is filed under the name Rattus norvegicus (Norway rat). RNAcentral describes it as "long non-coding RNA NONRATT027334". Lineage: Eukaryota; Metazoa; Chordata; Mammalia; Rodentia; Muridae. The record is from RNAcentral.